UAGUCCACGCCGUAAACGAUGAAUGCCAGUCGUCGGGUAGCAUGCUAUUCGGUGACGCAGCUAACGCAUUAAGCAUUCCGCCUGGGGAGUACGGUCGCAAGAUUAAAACUCAAAGGAAUUGACGGGGGACCCGCACAAGCGGUGGAACAUGUGGUUUAAUUCGAUGCAACGCGAAGAACCUUACCUGGGCUUGACAUCUACGGAACCUUGGCGAAAGUUGAGGGUGCUGUUUUGCAGAGCCGUAAGACAGGUGGUGCACGGUUGUCGUCAGCUCGUGUCGUGAGAUGUUGGGUUAAGUCCCGCAACGAGCGCAACCCCUUUCGCUAGUUGCCAGCAUUAAGUUGGGGACUCUAGCGAUACUGCCGGCGUAAGCCGAGAGGAAGGUGGGGAUGACGUCAAAUCAUCAUGGGCCUUUAUGCCUAGGGGCGACACACGUGCUACAAUGGACAGGACAAUGGGUUGCC
Molecule: ribosomal RNA, 464 nt
Filed under: uncultured bacterium
Lineage: Bacteria
Description: bacterial SSU rRNA
Rfam family: Bacterial small subunit ribosomal RNA
Source: RNAcentral